This 205-nucleotide ribosomal RNA is filed under the name uncultured bacterium. RNAcentral describes it as "partial 16S ribosomal RNA". It matches the Rfam family "Bacterial small subunit ribosomal RNA", at positions 1298 to 1500 of the family's 1533-position model. The record is from RNAcentral.
CUGUAGGCUGCAACUCGCCUACACGAAGCUGGAAUCGCUAGUAAUCGCGGAUCAGCACGCCGCGGUGAAUACGUUCCCGGGCCUUGUACACACCGCCCGUCACACCAUGAGAGUCUGUAACACCCAAAGCCGGUGGGAUAACCUUUAUAGGAGUCAGCCGUCUAAGGUAGGACAGAUGAUUAGGGUGAAGUCGUAACAAGGUAGC